This 73-nucleotide transfer RNA is filed under the name Merops nubicus (carmine bee-eater). It matches the Rfam family "tRNA". Rfam says of the family: Transfer RNA (tRNA) molecules are approximately 80 nucleotides in length. Their secondary structure includes four short double-helical elements and three loops (D, anti-codon, and T loops). Lineage: Eukaryota; Metazoa; Chordata; Aves; Coraciiformes; Meropidae. The record is from Rfam by way of RNAcentral.
GGGCCAGUGGCACAAUGGACAAAGCACCUGACUGUGGAUCAGGAGAUUGCAGGUUUGACUCCUGCCUGGCUGU